UUGGAGGGCAAGUCUGGUGCCAGCAGCCGCGGUAAUUCCAGCUCCAAUAGCGUAUAUUGAAGUUGUUGCAGUUAAAAAGCUCGUAGUUGAAUUUCGGGGUCAGUAGAUUGGUCAUGCCACUGGUAUGUACUGGUCUCACUGAUUCCUCCUUCCUGAUGAGCCGUAAUGCCAUUAAUUUGGUGUUGCGAGGAAUCUGGACUGUUACUUUGAAAAAAUUAGAGUGUUUAAAGCAGGCUGACGCUUGAAUACAUUAGCAUGGAAUAAUGAAAUAGGACGUUCGAUCUUAUUUUGUUGGUUUCUAAGAUUGACGUAAUGAUUAAUAGGGAUAGUCGGGGGCGUCAGUAUUCGGCUGUCAGAGGUGAAAUUCUUGGAUUUAUUGAAGACUAACUACUGCGAAAGCAUUUGCCAAGGAUGUUUUCAUUAAUCAAGAACGAAAGUUAGGGGAUCGAAGACGAUCAGAUACCGUCGUAGUCUUAACCAUAAACUAUGCCGACUAGGGAUCGGAUGAUGUUAAUUUUUUAAUGACUCAUUCGGCGCCUUACGGGAAAC
This 549-nucleotide ribosomal RNA is filed under the name uncultured Glomerales. RNAcentral describes it as "SSU rRNA". It matches the Rfam family "Eukaryotic small subunit ribosomal RNA", at positions 548 to 1098 of the family's 1831-position model. The record is from RNAcentral. Lineage: Eukaryota; Fungi; Glomeromycota; Glomeromycetes; Glomerales; Glomeraceae.